RNAcentral lists this ribosomal RNA (466 nucleotides) under uncultured bacterium. RNAcentral describes it as "partial 16S ribosomal RNA". It matches the Rfam family "Bacterial small subunit ribosomal RNA", at positions 28 to 507 of the family's 1533-position model. The record is from RNAcentral.
GAUGAACGCUGGCGGCGUGCUUAACACAUGCAAGUCGAACGGAAAGGCUCCUGCUUGCAGGGGUACUUGAGUGGCGAACGGGUGAGUAACACGUGGGUGAUCUGCCCUGCACUUCGGGAUAAGCCUGGGAAACUGGGUCUAAUACCGGAUAGGACGAUGGUUUGGAUGCCAUUGUGGAAAGUUUUUUCGGUGUGGGAUGAGCUCGCGGCCUAUCAGCUUGUUGGUGGGGUAAUGGCCUACCAAGGCGUCGACGGGUAGCCGGCCUGAGAGGGUGUACGGCCACAUUGGGACUGAGAUACGGCCCAGACUCCUACGGGAGGCAGCAGUGGGGAAUAUUGCACAAUGGGCGCAAGCCUGAUGCAGCGACGCCGCGUGGGGGAUGACGGCCUUCGGGUUGUAAACUCCUUUCGCUAGGGACGAAGCGCAAGUGACGGUACCUGGAGAAGAAGCACCGGCUAACUACGUG